This 275-nucleotide ribosomal RNA is filed under the name uncultured Peptoniphilus sp. Its description in RNAcentral is "partial 16S ribosomal RNA". It matches the Rfam family "Bacterial small subunit ribosomal RNA", at positions 80 to 354 of the family's 1533-position model. The record is from RNAcentral. Lineage: Bacteria; Bacillati; Bacillota; Tissierellia; Tissierellales; Peptoniphilaceae.
GGAUAAGACGGAUUAGCGGCGGACGGGUGAGUAACACGUGAGUAACCUGCCUUUUACACAGGGAUAGCCUCGGGAAACCGGGAUUAAAACCUGAUGAAACUAUCAAAUCACAUGAUUAAGAAAGUUAAAACUCCGGUGGUAAAAGAUGGACUCGCGUCCCAUUAGCUAGUUGGUGAAGUAACGGCCCACCAAGGCGACGAUCAGUAGCCGGCUUGAGAGAGUGUACGGCCACAUUGGGACUGAGACACGGCCCAGACUCCUACGGGAGGCAGCAG